GACGAACGCUGGCGGCGUGCUUAACACAUGCAAGUCGAACGGAAAGGCCCUGCUUUUGUGGGGUGCUAGAGUGGCGAACGGGUGAGUAACACGUGAGUAACCUGCCCUUGACUUUGGGAUAACUUCAGGAAACUGGGGCUAAUACCGGAUAGGAGCUCCUGCUGCAUGGUGGGGGUUGGAAAGUUUCGGCGGUUGGGGAUGGACUCGCGGCUUAUCAGCUUGUUGGUGGGGUAGUGGCUUACCAAGGCUUUGACGGGUAGCCGGCCUGAGAGGGUGACCGGCCACAUUGGGACUGAGAUACGGCCCAGACUCCUACGGGAGGCAGCAGUGGGGAAUAUUGCACAAUGGGCGGAAGCCUGAUGCAGCAACGCCGCGUGCGGGAUGACGGCCUUCGGGUUGUAAACCGCUUUCGCCUGUGACGAGGCGUGAGUGACGGUAAUGGGUAAAGAAGCACCGGCUAACUACGUG
RNAcentral lists this ribosomal RNA (468 nucleotides) under uncultured bacterium. RNAcentral's name for it is "partial 16S ribosomal RNA". It matches the Rfam family "Bacterial small subunit ribosomal RNA", at positions 28 to 507 of the family's 1533-position model. The record is from RNAcentral.